CUUUCUCUGUUGAAUCCCCCGUUGAAACACUGGAACAGUGAUUAGCCCUUUCCCCUCCCAGUAACCAGAUGACACAUAGUUCGGGAAGAACAAGCUGGAACACUUUAAUGGCAGCCACAAAUGGCCUUAUAUGCAUGUCCCCAUGCAAGGGACACUCCCCACUGGACCUAAGAGUAAACCCCAGUAGCAACAUAUACACAAUUAC
This is a non-coding RNA of Pelobates cultripes (western spadefoot toad), 205 nucleotides long. Lineage: Eukaryota; Metazoa; Chordata; Amphibia; Anura; Pelobatidae. The record is from the annotation of a GenBank genome assembly.